This 459-nucleotide ribosomal RNA is filed under the name uncultured bacterium. RNAcentral describes it as "partial 16S ribosomal RNA". It matches the Rfam family "Bacterial small subunit ribosomal RNA", at positions 338 to 795 of the family's 1533-position model. The record is from RNAcentral.
CCUACGGGGGGCAGCAGUGAGGAAUAUUGGUCAAUGGGCGGGAGCCUGAACCAGCCAAGCCGCGUGAGGGAAGAAGGUACAGCGUAUCGUAAACCUCUUUUGUCAGGGAACAAAGGCGGGGACUAGUCCCCGGAUGAGGGUACCUGAAGAAAAAGCAUCGGCUAACUCCGUGCCAGCACCCGCGGUAAUACGGGGGAUGCGAGGGUUAUCCGGUUUUAUUGGGUUUGAGGGGUGCGCAGGCGGCCUGUUAAGUCAGCGGUAAAACCCCGGGGCUCAGCCCCGGCGAGCCGUUGAAACUGGCGGGCUGGAGUGGGAGAGAAGUACGCGGAAUGCGCGGUGUAGCGGUGAAAUGCUUAGAUAUCGCGCAGAACCCCGAUUGCGAAGGCAGCGUACCGGCUCCAAACUGACGCUGAGGCACGAAAGCGUGGGUAGCGAACAGGAUUAGAUACCCUUGUAGUC